This is a long non-coding RNA of Phyllopteryx taeniolatus (common seadragon), 675 nucleotides long. RefSeq lists it as uncharacterized. NCBI's taxonomy places the organism in Eukaryota, Metazoa, Chordata, Actinopteri, Syngnathiformes, Syngnathidae. The record is from RefSeq and is a predicted model, not a curated record. The transcript has 3 exons.
CAUGUCUGGGCAUGUUCCCGCUUGCACAAAAAGGGAUUUUCCAGACUGAUGGUCCGCUCAGCGUUUCACACAACCCUGUGGUCAGAGAAAGCACAUGUUCUUGGCUAAAUACUCAUUUUUUUCAGAUCUUCAAACAUCUCAGACACCCCAUGUCACGUGCACAAGCCACGUGAGUGUCCAACUCUCUACAGAUGCGGGGUUGUGGCCUCAGGACAUGACCCUCAAACACCCGAUGUCACGUGUACAAGCCAUCUGUCUCAGCGAAGCCCUCGGGACGCUGUCACACCCACCAUCGACGCGGGGCCGGAUGGGAUCAUAUUCGCAGGUGACCCCGAACAUGAUGUCAUGUGACAAAAACGGCAGGAAAUAUGAUCUCACUUUGUUUUCACUGGAUGUGACAUCAUUUUGUUUUUUACCGGAUGUGACGUCAAUGGGGACAGUUGGGCCGGGAGGUGACAUCAUCGGACACGUGCGCUGGCACGCUGCCAAGUGAUGACGUCAUCGGCAACCCAUCAUUUUGUAGAUAUCCCUAUACUCUCCCUCUCUCGUAGGUUGUCAUUCUGCCAACUCCUCAUUUGAUCUGUCUCAUAUUAACGCCUUACGUACACCUAAUUACAGAUGUGCUCAUGAGUUGAAACACCCUGACAGAAUUUGUAAAAUGUUGGAAAGUUUUUA